Molecule: ribosomal RNA, 429 nt
Filed under: Bacteroidota bacterium
Lineage: Bacteria; Pseudomonadati; Bacteroidota
Description: Bacteroidetes bacterium partial 16S ribosomal RNA
Rfam family: Bacterial small subunit ribosomal RNA
Source: RNAcentral
UAGGGAAUCUUCCGCAAUGGGCGAAAGCCUGACGGAGCAACGCCGCGUGAGUGAUGAAGGUCUUCGGAUCGUAAAACUCUGUUAUUAGGGAAGAACAAAUGUGUAAGUAACUAUGCACGUCUUGACGGUACCUAAUCAGAAAGCCACGGCUAACUACGUGCCAGCAGCCGCGGUAAUACGUAGGUGGCAAGCGUUAUCCGGAAUUAUUGGGCGUAAAGCGCGCGUAGGCGGUCAAUUAAGUCUGAUGUGAAAGCCCCCGGCUCAACCGGGGAGGGUCAUUGGAAACUGGUUGACUUGAGUGCAGAAGAGGAGAGUGGAAUUCCAUGUGUAGCGGUGAAAUGCGUAGAUAUAUGGAGGAACACCAGUGGCGAAGGCGACUCUCUGGUCUGUAACUGACGCUGAGGUUCGAAAGCGUGGGUAGCAAACAGG